GGUUAAGCGACUAAGCGUACACGGUGGAUGCCCUGGCAGUCAGAGGCGAUGAAGGACGUGCUAAUCUGCGAUAAGCGUCGGUAAGGUGAUAUGAACCGUUAUAACCGGCGAUUUCCGAAUGGGGAAACCCAGUGUGAUUCGUCACACUAUCAUUAACUGAAUCCAUAGGUUAAUGAGGCGAACCGGGGGAACUGAAACAUCUAAGUACCCCGAGGAAAAGAAAUCAACCGAGAUUCCCCCAGUAGCGGCGAGCGAACGGGGAGCAGCCCAGAGCCUGAAUCAGUGUGUGUGUUAGUGGAAGCGUCUGGAAAGGCGCGCGAUACAGGGUGACAGCCCCGUACACAAAAAUGCACAUGCUGUGAGCUCGAUGAGUAGGGCGGGACACGUGGUAUCCUGUCUGAAUAUGGGGGGACCAUCCUCCAAGGCUAAAUACUCCUGACUGACCGAUAGUGAACCAGUACCGUGAGGGAAAGGCGAAAAGAACCCCGGCGAGGGGAGUGAAAAAGAACCUGAAACCGUGUACGUACAAGCAGUGGGAGCACGCUUAGGCGUGUGACUGCGUACCUUUUGUAUAAUGGGUCAGCGACUUAUAUUCUGUAGCAAGGUUAACCGAAUAGGGGAGCCGAAGGGAAACCGAGUCUUAACUGGGCGUUAAGUUGCAGGGUAUAGACCCGAAACCCGGUGAUCUAGCCAUGGGCAGGUUGAAGGUUGGGUAACACUAACUGGAGGACCGAACCGACUAAUGUUGAAAAAUUAGCGGAUGACUUGUGGCUGGGGGUGAAAGGCCAAUCAAACCGGGAGAUAGCUGGUUCUCCCCGAAAGCUAUUUAGGUAGCGCCUCGUGAAUUCAUCUCCGGGGGUAGAGCACUGUUUCGGCAAGGGGGUCAUCCCGACUUACCAACCCGAUGCAAACUGCGAAUACCGGAGAAUGUUAUCACGGGAGACACACGGCGGGUGCUAACGUCCGUCGUGAAGAGGGAAACAACCCAGACCGCCAGCUAAGGUCCCAAAGUCAUGGUUAAGUGGGAAACGAUGUGGGAAGGCCCAGACAGCCAGGAUGUUGGCUUAGAAGCAGCCAUCAUUUAAAGAAAGCGUAAUAGCUCACUGGUCGAGUCGGCCUGCGCGGAAGAUGUAACGGGGCUAAACCAUGCACCGAAGCUGCGGCAGCGACGCUUAUGCGUUGUUGGGUAGGGGAGCGUUCUGUAAGCCUGUGAAGGUGUACUGUGAGGUAUGCUGGAGGUAUCAGAAGUGCGAAUGCUGACAUAAGUAACGAUAAAGCGGGUGAAAAGCCCGCUCGCCGGAAGACCAAGGGUUCCUGUCCAACGUUAAUCGGGGCAGGGUGAGUCGACCCCUAAGGCGAGGCCGAAAGGCGUAGUCGAUGGGAAACAGGUUAAUAUUCCUGUACUUGGUGUUACUGCGAAGGGGGGACGGAGAAGGCUAUGUUGGCCGGGCGACGGUUGUCCCGGUUUAAGCGUGUAGGCUGGUUUUCCAGGCAAAUCCGGAAAAUCAAGGCUGAGGCGUGAUGACGAGGCACUACGGUGCUGAAGCAACAAAUGCCCUGCUUCCAGGAAAAGCCUCUAAGCAUCAGGUAACAUCAAAUCGUACCCCAAACCGACACAGGUGGUCAGGUAGAGAAUACCAAGGCGCUUGAGAGAACUCGGGUGAAGGAACUAGGCAAAAUGGUGCCGUAACUUCGGGAGAAGGCACGCUGAUAUGUAGGUGAAGU
This 1725-nucleotide ribosomal RNA is filed under the name Escherichia coli. Its description in RNAcentral is "partial 23S ribosomal RNA". It matches the Rfam family "Bacterial large subunit ribosomal RNA", at positions 1 to 1767 of the family's 2925-position model. Lineage: Bacteria; Pseudomonadati; Pseudomonadota; Gammaproteobacteria; Enterobacterales; Enterobacteriaceae. The record is from RNAcentral.